RNAcentral lists this non-coding RNA (29 nucleotides) under Mus musculus (house mouse). The record is from RNAcentral. Lineage: Eukaryota; Metazoa; Chordata; Mammalia; Rodentia; Muridae.
UGCUUGGUCCACCGCCCUACAUAGUAAGU